GAUGAAGAACGUAGCGAAAUGCGAUAAGUAAUGCGAAUUGCAGAAUUCCGUGAGUCAUCGAAUCUUUGAACGCACAUUGCGCCCUCUGGUAUUCCGGAGGGCAUGCCUGUCUGAGCGUCAUUGUCAACCCUCAAGCUCGGCUUGCUGUUGGGUCCCGCCGUGGGCGACCACGGCGGACCCGAAAGGUAAUGGCGGUGCCCGUGGGGCCCUGGACGCAGCGAGCUUCUCGGCACGCGUCCCGGCGGUCCCCGGCGCCGUCUCCACCAAUCCACCACGCAGAUUGACCUCGGAUCAGGUAGGGAUACCCGCUGAACUUAAGCAUAUCAAUAAGCGGAGGA
RNAcentral lists this unclassified non-coding RNA (338 nucleotides) under soil metagenome. RNAcentral's name for it is "partial contains 5.8S ribosomal RNA, internal transcribed spacer 2, and large subunit ribosomal RNA". The stretch from base 1 to 120 matches the Rfam family "5.8S ribosomal RNA", at positions 35 to 154 of the family's 154-position model. The record is from RNAcentral.